UCGUUUCUCCUUACUGUUUUUCCCUACCUCUUUUGUUUUCCUUUUCUUUUUUCCUUUACUGUUUUUCCCUAACCCUCAUCUUCCCCUUUUCAUCUCCCAAGCCAGCCUUGUUCUUUGUGCACCAUGGCCAAGCCUCUCUUUCUUCCAGUCACGCCCAUUCUUAUCCCUGCUUGUCUCUGUCGAUCUCAUGGACUUAGAUUUGUGUAUAUGUACCAGCAAUACAUGAGAAGAAGACAUAGAAAACGGCACCAUUAUGGCUUUGCUGGCGGCAUUCAAGCACUUCGAGCACAUGUUGCUGAACCGCUUAUAUUGCCAAAGAAUUUGAAACAGAAGGAUUUCGAAAGAUUUAACCAAAUUUGCUACCAGAUCGUACCGUUAUUGGCUUUAUUAGACAACAUACAGAUAGUGGUCGAUGCACCCCUGGUAGGGGUACUAUAACUGAACGGUGCACAAUAAGUAGCCGGCGCACUUAAAGUCGCAUAACAUUCAUUCUGCUAUCUUUGUUGAGCAGAUCUUCAUCGUAGCUUGAUGAAAUAUUUUUUCCAGGAAAUGAGCUUGUACACGCAGCAUAUAUAUUUAGCUGGGUAUGCAAGUGUCAUAGCUUACAUGGAGACAUCUAUGAACAAAGUACCAAUACAUACAAAUGCAUAAAUAGGGUAUGAAUGGGUACAGUAUAUUUUUCAUGGAAAUGAGCAUUAAUGUCACAAUGUAUUUAGAGUAUCACGCCGUGUUUUUGAAGAAUUGUGUAAUACAUUGAGCACUCAAUAUGGAUAUGAGGGUAGCAAAUGAGUUCGCUUGGAAGAGUAUGUGACAAUUAUAUUAGUGGUACUUGGUCAUGGCAUAUGUAAUAGAAUGCUUUAGAAUAGAUUUCAGCAUUCGGGUAAGAAAUAAGUCGACACAUGAAAAUGGUAGUUACGUUGUUAGGCAAUGUUAUGUUACAAGAUAUUUCCUAAUGUGCCACAACAUAUUCUCAAUUCCAAUAGAUAUUGGCCACAUUUCAAGGUACUUUGUUAUUUUGGUAUCUUGAUUUAAUUUUAUUCAAUUUAUCUUUAUGAUGAAAACACGUUGUAAAUUUCACAUGGUAUUUUUAUGGCAAUGAUUACAAUUGCAUUGGUAUGAUUGCUAGGGUUUAUGUUCUCGUGGUCUUAUCAAUUCAUAAGCAACAUACAUACAAAGGAAGGAAAGGGAAGUCAAUAAUCAAUUGAAUGUAUGCUUGUGAUUUUGACAUGAAAUUCACAUUUGCAUGUAUUAGAUGGAAAGGGUUAGCAUAUGACAUAAGAAUACUUUUAAAUUGUCUCAAUAAUAAGAGUGACAACUUUCCAAAACUUUCACUUGGUUUGUAUUGCUGAAUUUUAAUUAAUGUAUUAAAACAUGUGUUAUGUAAUGAAAAUGCUAAUGUAAUAAACAUUCUCAUUUGCAGGAAAAUAUUAUCUUGUUGAUUCAAGGUACCCUAUGAAGAAAGGAUUCAUUGCACCAUUUAAGGGGGAGAGGUACCACCUCCCCAAUUUUCAAUAAGGUUGAACACCACAAAAUUCAGAGAAGAAAUUUAAUUAUCUCCACUCAUCACUUUGUUUUGUCAUAGAGCAAACUUUUGGUGUUUGGAAGAAUAAAUGGAGAAUUUUGAGAGAUGCGCAACUAUGAUAUAUGCAUUCAUGAACGCAUUAUUAUUACUACAAUGGUCCUUCAUAAUUUUAUUAAAGCACAUGAAGACAAUGUAUUUGGACAAGGGCUUUCUAGACGAGACACAUGUGAAAGUAGCGAGGGAGGUUAUUACGAUGAAAUAACAUGUGAUAUUUUCUUUAGAUGAACCUAAGAUGAAAGUGGUUCAAAAUAAUAUCACAGCAUUGAUACA
Quercus lobata is the source of this 1852-nucleotide RNA transcript. RefSeq lists it as uncharacterized. The record is from RefSeq and is a predicted model, not a curated record. The transcript is spliced from 4 exons. Lineage: Eukaryota; Viridiplantae; Streptophyta; Magnoliopsida; Fagales; Fagaceae.